AUAUUAUUGGGGAUUUCUUGCUCCUAGAUUCUUAAAAUACAUGUAUGUAUAUGUAUAUAUUAUAUAUGUAUAUGUAAUUGCGGGGUUCUAAGCUUUACGGUAAGAAACUUUCGGUUGGGUUUCCCAUAAAGUUUAGAAACUUGCAAUUAUAUACGCAUAUAUAAUAUAUAUAUACAUACAUGUAUUUUAAAAACCUAAGAGCAAGAAACCCCC
This is a non-coding RNA of Brassica rapa (field mustard), 213 nucleotides long. The record is from RefSeq and is marked provisional. NCBI's taxonomy places the organism in Eukaryota, Viridiplantae, Streptophyta, Magnoliopsida, Brassicales, Brassicaceae.